GAAGGAAGCUUUGGGAAACAAAGGCGGGGGACAGUUGGCAGCUCAAACUGACAACCCUUUCUACAGCCUUGGAGCUUCCCAGUGAUGAGAUUGAAAUCAAUGACUCCACGUCACAAGGAAUAAGCACUCAGCCCCCCAGUUUCUGAGAUCCUCUUUGACUCAGCAUCUAUUGUGGCUGGAAAGGAAGAAGCCUCGCAUUCCAGAGGGCCAUGGAGACUCAGGCAGGCAGCACGUGGACGGGCCAUGAGGAAUACUCAACGUGCAUUUUGUUCCUUCUUGCUUGGUCUUUCCUUUUCUGUUAUGUGUGUGGGUUUGGGGAAGGGAGCACAUAUGGGUAGGAUGUGUGAUCAGCUGUUAUCAAUCAAUUUAAGAAAAUCCCUUGUGGUUUGACAUUUUCUAAGCCUGGCCUGGUCUUCCUGUUGGACCUCAUCCAAUCUCCAGUGGAUAGCUCUUUGUCUCAAAAGUGGAUCCUGAUGAACAGAGAUUGUCAUGAUACUUUAUGUUUCACAAUCUUGGGUGAUGCUGAUUGGCAUAUGUUUAUACUAACUGCAUCCUCUCCCAUGGGUGAACUGAAUCAGUCAAGUGCAAGGUGAGAAGACUGGGGAAAGAUUUAAGCACAUUGCCACAUUGCAAAGCUAGAAAUGAAAUGAGAUGGAGUUCAAAGGUAGGUCUUUUUGACCCAAAGUUUCUGACUCUCAUUCCCAAAUGAAGC
Molecule: long non-coding RNA, 712 nt
Organism: Mus musculus (house mouse)
Lineage: Eukaryota; Metazoa; Chordata; Mammalia; Rodentia; Muridae
Product: predicted gene, 39940
Exons: 3
Source: RefSeq, a predicted model, not a curated record